CUGCCUUUGAGCCCCUGUAGUGGCUAGGAUUAAGCUCAGGCGCCAGAGCACUUUGCUAGCGCAUAACAGGGGCCGCCUGGCCUUCGCGGGCGGCCCUUUUAACCGGUAGCUACAGGC
This is a small nucleolar RNA of Arvicanthis niloticus (Nile rat), 117 nucleotides long. Lineage: Eukaryota; Metazoa; Chordata; Mammalia; Rodentia; Muridae. The record is from RefSeq and is a predicted model, not a curated record.